This 773-nucleotide ribosomal RNA is filed under the name uncultured bacterium. RNAcentral describes it as "bacterial SSU rRNA". It matches the Rfam family "Bacterial small subunit ribosomal RNA", at positions 28 to 795 of the family's 1533-position model. The record is from RNAcentral.
AUUGAACGCUGGCGGCAUGCUUUACACAUGCAAGUCGAACGGCAGCACGGGUGCUUGCACCUGGUGGCGAGUGGCGAACGGGUGAGUAAUGCAUCGGAACGUACCUAUCAGUGGGGGAUAACACAUCGAAAGAUGUGCUAAUACCGCAUAUUAUCCGAGGAUGAAAGCGGGGGACCUUAGGGCCUCGCGCUGAUAGAGCGGCCGAUGUCGGAUUAGCUAGUUGGUGAGGUAAAGGCUCACCAAGGCGACGAUCCGUAGCGGGUCUGAGAGGAUGAUCCGCCACACUGGGACUGAGACACGGCCCAGACUCCUACGGGAGGCAGCAGUGGGGAAUUUUGGACAAUGGGCGAAAGCCUGAUCCAGCCAUGCCGCGUGAGUGAAGAAGGCCUUCGGGUUGUAAAGCUCUUUUGUCCGGGAGGAAAUCCUGACCCCUAAUACGGGUCGGGGAUGACAGUACUGGAAGAAUAAGCACCGGCUAACUACGUGCCAGCAGCCGCGGUAAUACGUAGGGUGCAAGCGUUAAUCGGAAUUACUGGGCGUAAAGCGUGCGCAGGCGGUUUUGUAAGCCAGAUGUGAAAUCCCCGAGCUUAACUUGGGAACUGCGUUUGGAACUGCAAGACUAGAGUGUGUCAGAGGGGGGUAGAAUUCCACGUGUAGCAGUGAAAUGCGUAGAGAUGUGGAGGAAUACCGAUGGCGAAGGCAGCCCCCUGGGAUAACACUGACGCUCAUGCACGAAAGCGUGGGGAGCAAACAGGAUUAGAUACCCUGUAGUC